Molecule: ribosomal RNA, 468 nt
Filed under: uncultured bacterium
Lineage: Bacteria
Description: partial 16S ribosomal RNA
Rfam family: Bacterial small subunit ribosomal RNA
Source: RNAcentral
GACGAACGCUGGCGGUGUGCUUAACACAUGCAAGUCGAACGGUAAGGCCCUUUCGGGGGUACACGAGUGGCGAACGGGUGAGUAACACGUGAGUAACCUGCCCUCAUCUCUGGGAUAACAGUCGGAAACGGUUGCUAAUACUGGAUAUGAGCUUGCAAGACAUCUUGUGGGUUGGAAAGAUUUUUUUUGGUUGGGGAUGGACUCGCGGCCUAUCAGCUUGUUGGUGAGGUAGUGGCUCACCAAGGCUUCGACGGGUAGCCGGCCUGAGAGGGCGACCGGCCACAUUGGGACUGAGAUACGGCCCAAACUCCUACGGGAGGCAGCAGUGGGGAAUAUUGCACAAUGGACGGAAGUCUGAUGCAGCAACGCCGCGUGCGGGAUGACGGCCUUCGGGUUGUAAACCGCUUUCAAUUGUGACGAAGCUUUUUUGUGACGGUAGCAGUAGAAGAAGCACCGGCUAACUACGUG